AAAAACUUGUCCAGGUACACACGACAUAAAUAAAAUUGCAACCAUGGUACUUGAGGUCUCUGUAUCUUGAGCUCAUCCUUCUAUUCUACCUGGAAGAAAGAUGGGAAAUCGAGGACCUUGCCCUUGGUCUUGCAUCUCAAACAGUUCUUGGUGCUGCAACUAUGGUGAGCCAGACAGGCAAACAUCCAGGGCAACUAAAAGGUCAGGUUACUUCUCCAGCAGAAGGAUUGGAGAGAAAAGCGGGAUGAGUUCAAGAAAAAGGUAAGGCAAUGUGUCCGCAAAUCUCAGGAAAUGCUCUAAAGGAGAAACAUAUGGGGAGUUGAACGAGUGCUGCAACUUCACAACCAGUUACCUAGCCAACAUUCUUUUGCUUUUCCCCUGUAUAUUUUCCAUUCAGUGUCAUUCGUAUGGUGGUGUUGGGUCUCUUUAGACAAACUGGGGACUGUUGCUUAUCCUAAAAAUUCGAUUGUAUUGUGUGGCAUGAAAUGAUUGAUGUCAAAGAAUAUUUUGAACAUGCUGCCACCUAAUUAUACUUUUCAUAUGAACAUCA
Zea mays is the source of this 550-nucleotide long non-coding RNA. RefSeq lists it as uncharacterized. NCBI's taxonomy places the organism in Eukaryota, Viridiplantae, Streptophyta, Magnoliopsida, Poales, Poaceae. The record is from RefSeq and is a predicted model, not a curated record. The transcript has 3 exons.